This 73-nucleotide transfer RNA is filed under the name Salmonella enterica. RNAcentral's name for it is "tRNA-OTHER". The record is from RNAcentral. Lineage: Bacteria; Pseudomonadati; Pseudomonadota; Gammaproteobacteria; Enterobacterales; Enterobacteriaceae. RNAcentral also lists the same sequence under 3 other names.
GUGUUGUUAGCUCAGGUAGUUCCAGGAACAUCUAAGCCGUGGGUCGCAGGUUCGAAUCCUGCAGGGCGCGCCA